UGGGGAAUAUUAGAAAUGGACGAAAGUCUGAUCUAGCAACACCGCGUGUGCGAAGAAGGCCUUCGGGUUGUAAAGCACUUUUUGGAAGGAUUAGGAAGGAAUGUACUUCCAGAAUAAGUCUCGGCUAACUACGUGCCAGCAGCCGCGGUAACACGUAGGAGGCAAACGUUAUCCGGAUUUACUGGGCGUAAAGCGCGUGUAGGUGGUACUGUAAGUAGGGCGUGAAAGCUCCUGGCUCAACUGGGAGAGGCCGUUCUAAACUACAGAACUAGAGGAUGGUAGAGGGAGGUGGAAUUCCAGGUGUAGCGGUGGAAUGCGCAGAUAUCUGGAGGAACACCGGUGGCGAAGGCGGCCUCCUGGACCAUUCCUGACACUCAGACGCGAAAGCUAGGUUAGCAAACG
This 402-nucleotide ribosomal RNA is filed under the name uncultured prokaryote. RNAcentral's name for it is "bacterial SSU rRNA". It matches the Rfam family "Bacterial small subunit ribosomal RNA", at positions 355 to 774 of the family's 1533-position model. The record is from RNAcentral.